Molecule: ribosomal RNA, 376 nt
Filed under: uncultured bacterium
Lineage: Bacteria
Description: bacterial SSU rRNA
Rfam family: Bacterial small subunit ribosomal RNA
Source: RNAcentral
UACAGAGGUCUCGAGCGUUAGGCGGAAUCACUGGGCUUAAAGCGUGUGUAGGCGGGUCGUUAAGUGCCUUGUGAAAUCCCAUGGCUCAACCAUGGAACUGCUGGGCAUACUGGCGAUCUUGUGCAACCUAGGGGCGAGCGGAACAGAUGGUGGAGCGGUGAAAUGCGUAGAUAUCAUCUGGAACGCCAAUGGUGAAAACAGCUCGCUGGGGGUUUGCAGACGCUGAGACACGAAAGCCAGGGGAGCGAACGGGAUUAGAUACCCCGGUAGUCCUGGCCCUAAACGAUGUCGACUAGAUCGUAGUGCCUCUGACGGUAUUACGGUCGAAGCAAAAGUGCUAAGUCGACCGCCUGGGAAGUACGGUCGCAAGGCUAAA